Molecule: ribosomal RNA, 460 nt
Filed under: uncultured bacterium
Lineage: Bacteria
Description: bacterial SSU rRNA
Rfam family: Bacterial small subunit ribosomal RNA
Source: RNAcentral
AACGAACGCUGGCGGCAGGCCUAACACAUGCAAGUCGAACGGGACCUUCGGGUCUAGUGGCGGACGGGUGAGUAACGCGUGGGAACGUGCCCUUUGGUUCGGAAUAGCCUCGGGAAACUGGGAGUAAUACCGGAUACGGUCGAGAGACGAAAGAUUUAUCGCCGAAGGAUCGGCCCGCGUUGGAUUAGGUAGUUGGUGGGGUAAAGGCCUACCAAGCCGACGAUCCAUAGCUGGUUUGAGAGGAUGAUCAGCCACACUGGGACUGAGACACGGCUCAGACUCCUACGGGAGGCAGCAGUGGGAAUCUUAGACAAUGGGGGAAACCCUGAUCUAGCCAUGCCGCGUGAUCGAUGAAGGCCUUAGGGUUGUAAAGAUCUUUCAGUGGGAAGAUAAUGACGGUACCCACAGAAGAAGCCCCCGGCUAAACUCCGUGCCAGCAGCCGCGGUAAAGUGACUACUG